AGAAAACCACUUCCUGUGCCCGACUCAAGAAUCACGGGCAGGGGCAAUCUCAAGGUAGACUAGAAAGCUACUACUACCCGCCGCAAUAAAUUACACGGGUACAAAAUAAGAAAAGCCCAUAUCGAAGACAUGUUAUCCAAGUUUUCUGAUAUUGAACAUGCAGUAAUUUUCCACACAUUGUAGUCCAAAUGGGUCAAAGGGCGUCCUUUGUUUUGCUCAAAACACUUGGGUUAUCGAAAUUGUAGACGUGUGUUUUCAAUGUUGCAGGGCAGGUUGGUGCGAGGCAUGUCAUUAUU
Molecule: long non-coding RNA, 296 nt
Organism: Arabidopsis thaliana (thale cress)
Lineage: Eukaryota; Viridiplantae; Streptophyta; Magnoliopsida; Brassicales; Brassicaceae
Product: other RNA
Exons: 2
Source: RefSeq